Molecule: transfer RNA, 76 nt
Filed under: bacterium
Lineage: Bacteria
Description: tRNA-Arg
Rfam family: tRNA
About the family: Transfer RNA (tRNA) molecules are approximately 80 nucleotides in length. Their secondary structure includes four short double-helical elements and three loops (D, anti-codon, and T loops).
Source: RNAcentral
GCCCCAGUAGCUCAGUGGAUAGAGCAAAUGUUUUCUAAACAUUAGGUCGCAGGUUCGAGUCCUGCCUGGGGUACCA